RNA transcript from Triticum dicoccoides, 2514 nucleotides. RefSeq lists it as uncharacterized. The transcript has 5 exons. The record is from RefSeq and is a predicted model, not a curated record. NCBI's taxonomy places the organism in Eukaryota, Viridiplantae, Streptophyta, Magnoliopsida, Poales, Poaceae.
ACCAAUCCCCACAGCCGCCAGCCCGCACCUCUCCCUCCUCCGGUCCUCCCUUUCUCAGCCGCCACCCCCACGAACCCUAGUCGCGCCCUCCUGCAUCUGUCCACCUCCCCCUUCCUGAUCCGCCCCAAGCCCCUCCUCGUCUCCUUGUCACACCCACCUCAUCACCAGCGACGGCCGCGCCUAAACGCAUGAGCUAGCCAAGGAAAAGCGGGGUGGCGCGACGCCCUGGUCAUCGGCCGGCGAGGAGCCUGCGUAGAGGCGGUGGCGGAGACGACCCUAGAUGGUGCCCAGGCCAAGAUCUGGACAGGGCGCCUCAACCUCGCCUUCCUCUUCCACCUACUCACUGAUAGAGAGACAGCAGCAGCGGUGGGAGGAGCCUGGGCAUAGAGGAGAGAAGUGGACGAGGGGGGUGCAAAGCCAGGAGAUGGGGGUCGCCGGAUGAGCACAUCCACAUAGGGCUUGAUCCCGCCGCUGCCAGAGCAGAGUGGAGCACCACACGGGGCCCGAUGGGGUGGCCGGGAGCGCGUGACAUCCGGCUCCCAAGCAGCUCCCAAGCAGGGAAUGCAGCGGUGCUGGCCUCUCCUCUCCGCGCGCCUUUGUCCUGCGUCGUCACUACCGCCAUGGCCUUGCUCGCCAUUGACCUCCCCAAGUGCUUCUCUCCACAAAUGGUGCCGUCAUGUCCAUAUCAAAUCAAGCGCCAGGAAAGUACAACACGUGCACAUAACUUGUUUGAGGAAAUUCCAUCUGGAAGCAAUAUUUGAUCAUGACUUGUGUUCUUGAUGCUUCAUCUGCGGCUAGCUAACUACAACAACACAUAUGUAAAGGGAAACCAUCGUAAGAAACACAGGAAGACAUUGCAUUGUUGAAGGAGUCCAUUGGGGACUGGAGUCGAUGGCCUACGACAUGGGUAGACACGUGUGCUUCAUGAUUAUUGUUGAUUAACUCAGAGUAUAUGAAUGCUUUGAAGGAAUGAUAUGCAUAAUUCAGACUAAAUCUUGCUGGUGAUAGUGAGGAGUUUAUUUGGCUGUAGCACUUUGAUUCUUUCUCACUGUCAAAGUUUGUUCAGUACUUCUCUCAUAUUUUUUUGUUUGUUCCAGUGUGCUAUGUGCAUCUUGCUAGUGGCGGGAGUGGCAGCCAAGAUGAUGGGCGCGGGAGCAGCGCACGUGUGAGCAAUGACAAGUGUGUCUGCUGCCAACCUUCACAGGGAAGAGACCCAUGGUCCAGAGUAGUACAUGCAAAUGAAGGAUACCAGACUGGCCCAUGGAGCAUGAGAUCCCCACCUUACUUGUAUGGCCUCAGGCUGAGGAGACCCUUCUAAUUAAGGUGGUCACUACUUACUUGCUUACUUGAACCUAUUUGUAGACCAAUUGCGAGUUAGUACCUGGGAAAAUGAACAUUUUUCUACCUCAAAUUUGCAUAUCAGUAUCCUUGUCUAAUUUAAGAUUGCUUUGCUUACUAUGAAGAUGAUUUGUGCUGCUGUAGUGUUCUUCAGUUUCUAGUGUUUAGAUGCCAGUUCAUUGUUGAGACAGUUCUGCUAUGUCCGUCUUCUGGAAAAUGCAGUAAGUAAAUAUUUUUUCUGUACAUUUUCACAGAUCCUAUUCGCCAAAGGAAAAAUAAAUAGAUAUAGAGAGGUAUAAAUUCAACAAAAAACAUUUUUUGAUUAAAAGGCUAUUCCAUUUGUCACCUACUGUACUUGCCCAUGACUGAAACAAUUAAUACAUGGUUUUCUUUUCAAAGCAUGCACGGAAUUAGUAGGCCUUUGCGCAACGGGUAUAGUACUGUCAGGACAUUAAGUAUAUUCAUGAAGUUGUGCAAAGUUUAAAAUUGGUUGCGGUAUCUCACAUUUGUCAAAUCCUUAUAUGUUGAUGGUAGUCAUGCUUAUUCCCAGCAUAUUAAGUAAGCUUGUGCUAUACUUGUGACUAAAUAAAGAAAUGUUCGGACUUAUCUUUUAUUUGCUCUACUUAAAGUGUUCAGGGUUUACCCAGAGGGCAAUUAUAUGUUUCCUACAGCCGUCUCCCGCGUGACGUCAAGAAAAUCCUUGAUGUUUAUGUUUUACUUGGCCUAAAUUUUGGUUUUCAAAUAGUUCUGCCUCUCAGUUUGAUAUUUCUACUUGCUUUUGAUUAGUAAUAUGAUGUAUUGUUUUCUAGAUCUAGGCCUACUUGCGUUCAAGGUUCAGUUGAUUGUUUUUCUUAAGGGUGUUUUUUUAAUUAGUGGCAUGAACAUGUGGCACUAAUUCCGUUGUGCAUUAUAUUGUGAAUUUUCCAGACAACACCAUUAUUGUAAAUAGAGAUGCUAAUGAGAAUAACAAAGAUGCUAAGAGGCAACCUUUUGGGGAUAUAACAACAACAUGGCUUAUGAGUCCGAACAGAGCUUGAGUGGUGUCUUUUGGUUCUUGAAGCCCUGCACUUUCCUGGUGGAGUAGUGAUGACCCACAAGUAUAGGGGAUCUAUCGUAGUCCUUUCGAUAAGUAAGAGUGUCGAACCCAACUAGGAGCAGAAGGAAAUGACAAGCGGU